This 253-nucleotide ribosomal RNA is filed under the name uncultured bacterium. RNAcentral describes it as "partial 16S ribosomal RNA". It matches the Rfam family "Bacterial small subunit ribosomal RNA", at positions 524 to 776 of the family's 1533-position model. The record is from RNAcentral.
UACGUAGGGGGCAAGCGUUGUCCGGAUUUAUUGGGCGUAAAGAGCUCGUAGGCGGCCGUCCACGUCGGAUGUGAAAGCUCGGGGCUCAACCCUGAGAGGCCAUUCGAUACGGGACGGCUAGAGGCAGGUAGGGGAAAGUGGAACUCCUGGUGUAGCGGUGAAAUGCGCAGAUAUCAGGAAGAACACCCGUGGCGAAAGCGGCUCUCUGGAACGGUACUGACGCUGAGACGCGAAAGCGUGGGGAGCGAACAGG